GAGUUUUCUUCACUCCUAAGCCAUCCACAUAAGAUGCCACGUCAGAAAGUCGAACGUUGUCGUCGCGCCACGCGUCCCUGCAUUCAAAAUACAUCACUUUGUUAGAUGAAUAUAUUUCUUCGCAUAUCUAUACAUACAAAUAGUAUGUAACUUACACUUUAAUGCACAUCAAUAAGCGCUUAUAUGUAUAUAGAGAGAUCUAUCGCAACCAUUGCAUAUCCUGACAAUAAUCUAAGAUCUUUUAAAACAACUUUUAGUUAUAGUUAAGAGAUAAAACAGAGGAAAUGCUGGAGUUACAAGCAGAUAGUGGAGUAACAUAAGACGUCAUCAUCCUUGCUCAGUCACGAGCACAUCUAACAUUACCGACGCCGCCUGACAUCAGGUUCGUUCUGCUUAUGUAUCUUUAAAACAUCCAAAAGUUGUUUAUUUUUAUCAAUGAAAAGUAUUCUUAUUCAGAGAUUAUAUGUUUGUUAGUAUUGAUUCUAUAGGAUGUUUAGGCAUAUAUAUUAAACACGUAUGUUUACAAAUACAAAAUAAUACUCGAUUUCUGUUACAUAUUGUAAUAGUGGAUAAGACUAAAAAGGAAAAUAUGUGCUUAUAAUAUGUUUUAGUUUUUAGUUUGAGGAAAAGAAAAAUAAUAAUAAUAAAUAGAUGUAGUGUAUUAUACAGGGAUUAUUAUGAUUUUGAAACUAAAACAAAUAUAUAGGAAAAUUGCACAUUUUGGAUGCGAGUGCAAUUCUUAUUAACCGGGUUUAGUUUAGAGUCCAAUAUUAUCCUAAAAAAAAAAUUAGAUAUAAAUUAUAUUUAUAUCCACAAACUAGAUAAUUUUAGUUUUACAAAAAAUUUUAAAUUUGUGUACAUUAAUUAUUGGGGCCCCUUAAUUAUUUUACUUAAUUUUUUUAAAAGUUAUGUUUUGAACUUCAGAAAUAUUAUUAUCACUAUUUUAUAAAUAUAUUCUUAGUUUUAAUAUUUAAAGAUUAGAUGAAAUAAUUUAUAAGAAAGGUCUUCUUUUACUAUCAAUUUGAGAUGUUAAUAUAUUCAUAUUUUAGAUUUACAAAGAAUAUUAAUACAAUUAUCAAAAAUAUAUAUAGUUAUUCUAUUAACUAACAUGUACUAUAACGCAAUAAAAUAAUUUUAAAAUAAUAGUUAGUUUAAUAUGUAUUUUGCUGAUUUAUAAUAUUUUUGUACAAAAUAAUAUAUGGCCGUACAAGUUCUGUUUGUGCAUAAUAUUUUAUAGCCAGUUUAAAAUUUUACGUAAGUAUAAAUAUAUAAUCAUCAAAGCAUACUAUUCCUCCGUUUAUUUGGUGUGUUUUACAUUUGCUUUAAUUUAUCUCUAGCAAAUUACUAACAUAAUAUAAAGCAAAAAUAAAUCCUCAAAUAUAACAUAAAUAUAAAAAAAACAACAACAAGUACUAAUAGUAGCAAUGACAUUGUCCGAAACAACUACAAAUAUAUUUUUAGUGACUAAGAUUACCUCAAAGUUAAAACUUUAUUUUCCACGGUAUUAGAUACUCUCACAUAAAAAAAAAAUUAUGGUAAUUGAAAACUCAAUCUCAUUCUCUUAACAUAAUCACAUUUACAACCAACUAAACAUAGAAGAAAAUUUACACAAAAUUAUAUAAUUCAUAAAAACCGAUAUAUUGAAUUCUGCGCGUAGCGCGGACCUGCCCUAGUUUUAUGUAAUGUAAUGUUGUGAUUUUCAAAAUAAAUAAAUAAAUAGAUAAUACAUAGUUGUAGAUAUAAAACUUUAACAUAUGUUACCCAUUUUAUUUUUGGUAUAAAAAUAUUACAUAAUUUACGAAUUUUAAUCCUUUUAAACGGUGAAUGACAUUUUUAAAAAUAUUUUUUUUUUAAAUAAUGUUUUUUAAAAUAUGUUAAUUUACCAAUUUAAUUAACUUUUCAUUUUUAAUUCAUUUAUUACUUAUGUUUCAAUAUAAUAUUGACAAUAAUUAUAAAAUUUAUAAAAUAGUGUAUACUUUUAUUUUAUAUAGAAUUUUUUAACUAAAUUUAAUUUUACUAUUAUUAUAUUUCUAAUUACGAAAUUAAUCAAUGCAUUAAUUUAAAAAAUAUUUAAAACUUUAUGUUAGAUUUUUCUCAACAUAUUUUCUUAUAACUAAGAAUAAAAUAAAUUUUACAGUUAAAAUUAAUUUAUUAUUAAUACCUUUAUAACUGUUUAGAUACUUUAGGAUUGUUAUAUAUUUAAUAAACUAAUAUAAAUAGUCAAAUAGAUGUAAUUGAUUAUGGAUAUAGCAUGAAUAUUUUAUAGUACUUCUCAUUUAAUAGAGAAAACACAUAGUUAAACAUUAUUAAUGUAACUUUUAAGAUUUUUUACACGACUUUUCAAAGUAAAAUUAGUGAUGGAUAUAUAUUAAUUUAGGGGGUUGGCAAACAUGCUGUGUUGCUAACAUGCUUUUUUCUCUUUCUUUUUUUUUUCUCUUGUUUUUUCCUUAUUUUUCUCUUAUUUUUUCCUUAUUUUUUUCUUAUAAAAUGUAAUGAAGAAAAAAAAUUAAAACUUUUGUCGGGCUUGUAGUAAUAAGUUCCAAACAUAGCUGGAGCCUUAUACAAUUCGGUGCCUAGAACAAAAUUAAUGACAUCCAAUUCUCUUUUUGUGAAGUUUUCUCUGCCCAUUGAAAAUACAUAGAUUUCUAACUUGAGGUUUUGAAGACGCACAUUGGUUGUAACAUUCCUUGGAUAAGUAUGUUCUUGGUCGAGUUGCUUACAUAUUUCAAGGAAGCAUGAGGGAAGUACAUGCUUCCUUUGAUGGGGUUCUUACAAACACAUUUUGUUUUGCUUCCAUCCCAUGAUCACACGGAGCACAUUUGAAAAGAGAAGAUGUUAGCGAUUGUAUGGGACUCUCCGAAGCUAGAUAAGUUUAACACAAUCAACCACUACAAAAAAAGUCUACAUUAAUAGCACAUUGUUAUAGCACGUUUUACUGAACUGCUAUUGUAUAUGAGUUUGAAAUUUCCGUACUAUAUAAUAGCAUUAGAUAAACGCUAUUAUAAAGUGAAACCUAAAAUAACACUUAAUUAAUGCUAUUUGAAAAUUAAGUGAGCGGGAAGAUAAAACCACUGAUUCCGCCAAUAAUUAGCGGAAAAUUAUACUUAAGCGCCAAAAACAUUAUUUAAGCGGUUUCAGUAAUGCUAUCAAAAACAUAUUAUAGCAUUUUUCUAACGCUAAGAAAAGAUAUUUGAACCCCUAAACCCUAAACAUGAUUUUAAACCCUAAACUCUAAAGACAUCCCUUAAAACUCUAAUAUUUUCAUAUUAUAACUUCAAAUCUUAAAAUUAAACUCAAAUUGUAAUCUUCUUAAUCUUAAACUAUAAUAUCCUAAACACAAAUCUUUAAUCUUUACUCAAACUCUAUAUCCUAAAAUCCUAACUUCAUACAUAAACUAUACAUUCAAUACUCUAAAUAAAAACUUCAAUCUUUAUAUCAUAAAAUACUAAACUUUGUUUUAAACACUAAACUUUAUUUGUAUAACUUAUAUCAUAAAACUCUAAGUUUAUUUUAAAUUUCAAACUCUAUAUCUAACCUUUUAACCCUAAUUAAUUUCUAACUCUUACUUACAAAAGUAACAAAAUAUUAAAAGCUUCAAAUCCUUAUUAAAUUUAUAAAUAUUCAAACUUUUUUUAAAAAAAGUUAAUUUCAUACACUAUAUCCAAACUUUAACCUCAUAUAUUAAAUUUAAACUCAAAAUUUAAUAUUAUAUCCAAACUUCAACCUCAUAUCUUAAAUUUAACCCCAAUAAUUCAUACUAUAACCUCAUAUCUUAAAUUUAAACUCAAAAUCUAAUCUUUUUAUUUUAAAUUAUAAUUCUCAUUCCCCAAAUUGUAUACCCUCUAUCAUAAACAUAACUUUUAAAGUUCAAAUUUUAAUAUUUUGAUUUUCAUAUUAAAAAAAUUCAAAAGCUUGAUAUAUAAAUUUUAUAUUAUCUAACAUAUAAAUUAAAUAGAACUAUAAAUCAAAAUUUUAUAUCACUUUACCAGUAAAAAAAUCAACUAACAAAAAAAAUUGUCAUUGACCAAUGAUAUCAAAGUACUCAGAUCACAAUUUCCACCAUUGGAUUAGAUUAAUCCAACAGACCAAAUCUAAUCACGCUUUAUCUUUCCCUUUCCUCUCUAUUUUCUUCUUCUACGACAUUCACUCUCUUCACUUCUUCUUCUUUCUUUUCUCAUUAUCUAUAUGGUUCACAUCUCCUCUUCUAUCUCUCUGCACAUCUCUCUCUAUCUCUAUCAAAAAUUUCUCUCAAUUUCAUCUCCUUUUCACCACCACAACCGCCGACCUUCAUGUUCAUCACCACCACGCUCUUUUGAUUACGUCGCGUUCUUUACCACCAUCUUCACUGUCACGCUCGUCACCAUCACCACAGGUCACCUCUCUCUCUGUCUCUGUCUGUCUCUCUCUCUCUCGCUUCUCCUCUCAUCUUUCUAUCUUCUCCUCCAAUCGGUUUUGUUUUUCUUUACAGAUCUGAGAAGGAGCAGUGACAAAACAGAAAAGAGAAGUAGUGGUGUGACAGAGCGGCAUCUCCGGUUAAGCGUGGUGCAAAAGCCGGUGGUUUGUUGGCGGUUCGUGGCUGAAGCUCUGUGAAGGUGGCGAUGGUGGCUGAAGCUCUGUGAAGCUGGCGAUGGUGGCUGAAGCGUCAAUUGGGUUUAGAUUUAGGUUUAGUUAAUCAAUUGGUUUAGUUAGGUUUACAUUAAGUAAUUGGUUUAGUUAAGAUUAGAGUAAUAUAUUUAUGUAUUAUUGGUUUAGUUUUGUAAACCAAAAUUUAUUGUAAACUAAAUUUAAUUUAUGAAUAAAAGUUAUUUAGUUGACCAAAAUUUUUUUAUUUCAUUUUUAAUUAUAAAACAAUUUUAGUUUAUUUUUAAUUAUAAUUAUUUUUAGUUUAUCGAAAGACCUAUAAUAACACGAAAGAAAGACCUAUAAUAAUACGAAAGUAGUGUUAAUAGUUAAGCUAGUAAUAUCAUCCAAGUAUUGCUAUCAUUGCUGUAUAUUUCGUAACGUUAAAAAAAUGUUAUCGUAAGAGGGGUACCUAUGAUGGCUGCCGUAUACAUAGCAUUUAUGAAUUCGCUAUUAAACAUUUAAUAUAGCAUAUUUCUCGCGCUAACAAUGUACAUAUUUCUUGUAGUGAACUACUUAAUAUCUUAAACUUUAACAUGAUAUUAUAUGCAUUAAACAUACCGUGUAGUGGAGAGGCAAUACAUGUCAGAAACAUCAUCAUCAUCAUGACGGUUGCAAUUGUUGCAUUCAUCUUACACUUCCAAGAGAAAUCUUCUUCUCUUUCUUUCUUUCUUAACGUUCUUAGUAUUGGUAAGAAUGAUCACUUUGUGUUGAAAAGAAACUAGUGUUUUAAACAUAUAAAAAGUUAAAGAAGUUGGUAAAAUGGUAAUGUUUGAGAGAGUUGUGUGGUUCAUUAACUAUGCUUCGUGUAGUAUUCACCAUUCCAACACUCAACUUCUACUAGGAUGUUUUUGUUUUGUUUUAAUCCUUGGACAACAAGAAAGUGAUGUUUUACUCUAAAAUUUGGAUUGCAUGUAAAUCUUUUGGUUAGCAUGUAACCGAGAUAAUGAAGUUGUUCUACAUGCCAAAAGUUUUUGUUAAAUAUUCUAUGUCAUGACUAAGAUGGAGGAGAUGAAAAAACCUCAUGAAUAUGAAAGGAACUGUCUAAUGUUGAAAGACAAGUUGUAGCAGAGACUGUGAUAGGUUAAUGUGGUUGUGUUGUUCCUUCCAUCAUGCCACUCAAACAUAAAGAUUAUGUUGUGAACAUAUUGCUAACAUGCUUUUUUCUCUUUCUUUCUUUUUUCUCUUGUUUUUCCCUUAUUUUUCUCUUAUUUUUUCCUUAUUUUUUUAUUAUAAAAUGUAAUGAAGAAAAAAAAUUAAAACUUUUGUCUGGCUUGUAGUAAUAACUUCCAAACAUAGCUGGAGCCUUGUACAAUUCGGUGCCUAGAGCAAAACUAAUGACAUCCAAUUCCAUUUGUGUGAAGUUUUCUCUGCCCAUAGGAAAUACAAAGAUUUCUAUCUUGAGGUUUUGAAGACGCACAUCGGUUGUAGCAUUCCUUAUUGCUACACUCUCUACAUGAUCAUUGGAAGACUUCAAGUACUCCGUCAAACCUUGGAUAAGUAUGUUUUUGGCCGAGUUGCUUACAUCUUUCAAGGAAGCAUGAGGGAAGUACAUGCUUUCUUUGAUGGGACUUUGGGUUUGCUUCCAUCCCAUGAUCACACAGAGCACAUUUGAAGGAAGAAGAUGUUGGCGAUUGUUUGGGAUUCUCUGAAGCUAGAUAAGUUUAAAACAAUCAGCAACUUAAUAUCUUAAACUUUAACAUACCGUGUAGUGGAUAGACAAUACAUAUGAGAAACAUCACCAUCACCAUCAUGAUGAUGGUUGCAAUUGUUGCAUUCAUCUUACACUUACAAGAGGAAUAUUCUUCUCUUUCUUUCUUAACGUUCUUAGUAUGGGUAAGAAUGAUCACUUUGUGUUGAAAAGAAACUAGUGUUUCAAACAUAUAAAAAGUUGGUCAAAUGGUAAUGUUUGAGAGAGUUGUAUAAUUCAUUAACUACGCUUCUUGUAGUAUUCACCAUUCCAACACUCAGCUUCUACUAGGAUGUUUUUGUUUUGUUUUAAUCUUUGGACAACAAGAAAGUGAUGUUUUACUUUAAAUUUUGGUUGCAUGCAAAUCUUUUGGUUAGCAUGUAACCGAGAUAAUGAAGUUGUUCUACAUGCCAAAAGUUUUUGUUAAAUAUUUUUUGUCAUGACUAAGAUGGGAGAUAUGAAGAAAGCUCAUGAAUCUGAAAAGGAAAUAUUUACUGUUUAAAAACGAGUUGUAGCAGAGACUGUGAUAGGCUAAUGUGGUUCCUUGUGUUGUUCCUUCCAUCAUGUCACUCAGAGAAAUGGACUUCUUCCAGCCAGAGUAUAGCAAAGGAAGAUGUCAUGUCAAGCUGUCCAAACUCUCAAGUAAACAUAAUCUCACAAUCAAGUAAGAUAGACGCAAGGCUUGACUCAGUCACUUUCAUCAGUGAAACAAACCACCAAUUCUUACACAUCUUUCGGUUCAUGAGAUGUUGCAUCACCAUUCUCACACGUUUCAGAAAAAUCUGCAUUCACUGAACAUUUAGUGCAUUCACCAGAUUGUUGCAGUAACCAUACGUUUUUGACUGCUCCAUCAGACUCAGUGUUUGCAUCAAUCUCCUUGUAAUUGGCCAAAGAGAAGCCUCUGUAUUUGCACAACAGGAGCUUUGAGUAUUUGAUGCUUUGUAUCAGAUUGUUCUUUCAUAUCUACACUGCUAAAAUUACCCGAGAGUUUCAACCAUAGUUCCAGACAGUUGUCUCCAGAGAUAUGUAUAUUAUUAAACUCAGAACGAGACCAACCCAACCACUCUAGUUCUGAAACUGCUUGGUGAUAAUCUGUCUUGUUACCCCUCAUCAUCGUCUCUCUGUUGCCCAAUAUUCAAAAUGGAACACGCUCUAAACAGUACAGGACACCAACGAGAUAUAGAAAACUCUCAUUGUGCCCAAGAAGAGUAUGGAGAACUAGUUGUACAACCCUGAAACAAUUUGGUGUUUCCUGUAUCUCCAUUUAUGUUGUCGUCACUUGGAAGUUUCCCUUCCUCAAAGAGAAACCGUGUCAUUAAUAAUGCAUCUUUGUCAUGUUGAACUCUGCCUAACUGAGCACCCAAUCUAACUUCAGACUCCUGCCACGGUUGGAACAAAAGCUCCCCAUACGUAUGUAGAUAAUUGUAACAGUCAUUGACAGUCCAACAACAACAUUCGUGACAUGUAGUUGUCUUUGAAUAGAGUGACGAAGCAUUAGUUUCUGUUACGCUUUCACUAAGAUCAUGCUGCUGUGUAUUCAAAAUCUUGAUAUAUAAAUUUUAUAUUAUCUAACAUAUAAAUUAAAUAGAACUAUAAAUCAAAAUUUUAUAUCACUUUACCAGUA
This 7934-nucleotide long non-coding RNA is filed under the name Brassica napus (rape). RNAcentral's name for it is "long non-coding RNA (BNAP_LNC012658)". Lineage: Eukaryota; Viridiplantae; Streptophyta; Magnoliopsida; Brassicales; Brassicaceae. The record is from RNAcentral.